Long non-coding RNA from Paramisgurnus dabryanus, 2201 nucleotides. RefSeq lists it as uncharacterized. The record is from RefSeq and is a predicted model, not a curated record. NCBI's taxonomy places the organism in Eukaryota, Metazoa, Chordata, Actinopteri, Cypriniformes, Cobitidae.
AUGCUAAUAAAUUGGCACGUUAGCACGUUAUUGCAAUAUCCCAUAGUACAUACAUGUUAUUAAAACUUGAACUAAUGCAUUGUGAGUCUUAUAAAUUGCUUACAUACCUCACCGAUUUCCCACUGUCUGGAAAACGCUCGGUUUAGUUCCUGUCUCCGCCUCCCAAAAUGUCUAGUGUAAUCGGAUUGGUCAGAUGACUACUCAACUGUUAUUGGUCAGCUGGGUUCGGCUUGUGUUUGAAAGUUACGCCCCUGACUACGCGUGGGUUGACACAGAUUCUGACUGAGUCACAGCCUCAGAGGCAUCGUAAACAAGCGUUAUAUUUCUCUAUAAACGAUGGUGUCUGUACUGCCUUACCACUUCGAGCUCGAUCCAGAGAGUUCAGACGGCCGUUACGAUAUAAACGAUCUCCGUCAAUGAAUGCGAUUGGAUUUAACUUUUUUAGGUGUCCUUAGCUCUGCCAGAAUGCUAAACGAAGACGAAAAUGUGUUGCAAAGACAUCCAAAAGGUAAUUAUAACGUACUACAUAACUAUAUGGAAACACCAAAUGUAGCACAUAUAAAGUAUUUGUUGAAAUGAUUAUAAAACGAUUUCACUUGGUAAUUUCUACAUUAUUUUACUCUAGUAAAAUUUAUUAUAAGACUGCUUACAUACUGUAUUACUGUGCAAACUAUAUGGAAACACCAAAUGUAGCACAUAUAAAGUAUUUGUUGAAAUGAUUAUAAAAUGAUUUUACUUGGUAAUUUCUACAUUAUUUUACUCUAGUAAAAUUUAUUAUAAGACUGCUUACAUACUGUAUUACUGUGCAAACUAUAUGGAAACACCAAAUGUAGCACAUAGAAAGUAUUUGUUGAAAUGAUUAUAAAACGAUUUCACUUGGUAAUUUCUACAUUAUUUUACUCUAGUAAAAUUUAUUAUAAGACUGCUUACAUACUGUAUUACUGUGCAAACUAUAUGGAAACACCAAAUGUAGCACAUAUAAAGUAUUUGUUGAAAUGAUUAUAAAAUGAUUUUACUUGGUAAUUUCUACAUUAUUUUACUCUAGUAAAAUUUAUUAUAAGACUGCUUACAUACUGUAUUACUGUGCAAACUAUAUGGAAACACCAAAUGUUGCACAUAGAAAGUAUUUGUUGAAAUGAUUAUAAAACGAUUUCACUUGGUAAUUUCUACAUUAUUUUACUCUAGUAAAAUUUAUUAUAAGACUGCUUACAUACUGUAUUACUGUGCAAACUAUAUGGAAACACCAAAUGUAGCACAUAUAAAGUAUUUGUUGAAAUGAUUAUAAAAUGAUUUUACUUGGUAAUUUCUACAUUAUUUUACUCUAGUAAAAUUUAUUAUAAGACUGCUUACAUACUGUAUUACUGUGCAAACUAUAUGGAAACACCAAAUGUUGCACAUAGAAAGUAUUUGUUGAAAUGAUUAUAAAACGAUUUCACUUGGUAAUUUCUACAUUAUUUUACUCUAGUAAAAUUUAUUAUAAGACUGCUUACAUACUGUAUUACUGUGCAAACUAUAUGGAAACACCAAAUGUAGCACAUAUAAAGUAUUUGUUGAAAUGAUUAUAAAACGAUUUCACUUGGUAAUUUCUACAUUAUUUUACUCUAGUAAAAUUAAUUAUAAAAUACUGCUUACAUACUAUUUUACUGUGCAAACUAUAUGGAAACAACAAAUGUAGCACAAAAAAAGUAUUAAUUGAAAUGAAUGUUAGUUCUACAUUAUUUUACUAUGGUAAACUUUAUUAUGAAAGACUGUGCUAUGUUUUUACUUACUAGGUUUUAAGGAGAAUGCAACAGGUUCCAGGGCCUCUUACCUGCGUGAUUCAUCAUCCAGGUUUUGCACAAAUUGUCUAAAUCCCUACACACAGAACAUUUAUUGUACCGACUAUAAGCCUUUGAGGCGCAGGACUAGAAUACGCUUGGAGCUUCCUGAUCGGAAUGUUGGCUUCCGACGACCCCUGCACUGAAGAUGGCAUGCAAUCACGUCCUCCUUUGAAGGUCUCUCAAACUGUGAUGCCAGGUCCAUUGGAAUCGGGGUUUCCUUCAGCUUAUCUUCAAAUACCUCAGCAAACACAAGCCUGAUCACAUCAUCCACAUAACUGUAGAAAUAUUGCGGUCAAAUCUUUUGUUUUGAUAAUUUAUUUCCCUGCUUCAUACAUUAAGUUUUUAAUUAUGAAUGUAUUUGAAAUAAAACAUUACUGCUUA